Centrocercus urophasianus (Greater sage-grouse) is the source of this 7137-nucleotide RNA transcript. It is a transcript of the gene named ASXL transcriptional regulator 1, with no coding region annotated. The record is from RefSeq and is a predicted model, not a curated record. The transcript is spliced from 12 exons. NCBI's taxonomy places the organism in Eukaryota, Metazoa, Chordata, Aves, Galliformes, Phasianidae.
CGCCAGCGCGGGAGGAGGAUGAGGGAGAUGAAGCAGCGCAGGAAGAAGGAGCGCACGUGGGCCGAGGCCGCCCGCCUGGUGCUGGAAAACUACUCGGAUGCUCCAAUGACCCCAAAGCAGAUUCUGCAGGUCAUAGAGGCUGAAGGACUGAAGGAAAUGAGUGGCACCUCUCCCCUGGCCUGCCUCAACGCCAUGCUCCAUUCCAAUUCCAGGGGAGGCGAUGGGCUCUUCUACAAACUGCCUGGACGGAUCAGCCUGUUCACCCUGAAGAAGGAUGCCCUGCAGUGGUCUCGGAACCUGUCUGUGCCAGAAGGGGAUGAACUGGAGGAUACAGCAGAUGCAGAAAGCUGCGAGUCCAACGAAACAAGCACUGUGAGUGGUGACAAUGAUGGUAAGUGUCUAAUAACAUUCAUCUUAAGCUGCAAGUAUCCACUUCUGUUUUUGGCUGAGGGCUCGUCUGUUUCAGUGUCCCUUGAUGAAACCUCCUCCAACGCCUCCUGUUCCACCGAAUCUCAGAGCAAGGGACCCUCUACUGCCAGGGAGAGCAACAGAACAGCCUCACAGACAACCAAACAAAAGAGAAAGACAGGUGUCAUGUUGCCACGUGUUGUCUUAACGCCACUGAAAGUAAAUGGGGCACACAUGGAGUCUGCAUCUGGCUUCACAGGAAGGCAUGCUGAUGGGGAGAGCAGCAGCACAUCCAGCAGCAGCAGCAGCUCUUUGGCUCUGUGCAGUGCCACCUUGCGCAGCAGAACAGAAAUAAACAGGGAUCCUCCACAGCUGCUCAGAGGAAUCCGAAAGCCCACAGCUGGGCAAAUGAAACGAAACAGGGGUGAGGAUAUUGACUUUGAAACGCCUGGUUCCAUUCUUGUCAACACAAACCUGCGGGCUCUGAUAAACUCCAGGACCUUUAAUGCACUCCCAUCGCACUUCCAGCAGCAGCUGCUUUACCUCCUUCCAGAAGUCGAUAGGCAGGUUGGGGCUGAUGGGCUGAUGCGUCUCAGUGGCAGCGCUCUGAAUAAUGAAUUCUUCACCCAUGCUGCUCAGAGCUGGAGGGAACGCCUGGCUGACGGUGAAUUCACACAUGAAAUGCAAGUUCGAAUUCGGCAGGAGAUGGAGAAGGAGAAGAGAGUGGAGCAGUGGAAGGAGAAGUUCUUUGAGGACUACUAUGGACAAAAGUUGGGCUUGACCCAAGAAGAAUCCCAGGAGCAGAAUUUGGUGCAAGAAGAUGCCGAGAACAGGACAGCUCUGUCUGUGAAAGGAGAAAGCAGGCUGCCACGCGGUCCCUCCACGCGGCAGAGGGAUGGGCACUUCAAGAAGCGCUCCAGGGCCGACCUGCGAUGCAGAGCCAGGAGGAGCCUGUACAAAUUGCGUGAUUCUGAGCAAAAAGAGGCUUCCAAAGACACUGCUUCUGUGGGACCGGAUUCCUCUCUUCAUAAAGACACAAAGUCUGAGGUGGAUCAGAAGAAAGAUGACCUGACAAGUGCUUCUGCUGCAGUGCUGAAGCCAGAGAACUCAGAAUCGCAUCUCUCUCCAGAGACUUCCAAACUGCACAGUAAAUCGGAAGAUCUGUCAUUGGCAGCUGCAAACAGGAUUCCCUGUUUGUCCCAGGAGAGCCCUGCUCGGGAACCAAAGGACCAGAAGAGGAAAUGCUUUGAGGAGGCUGCCUCUGCCUCCUUCCCCGAAAAGAAGCCCCGGCUUGAAGAUCGUCAGUCCUUUCGUAACACAAUUGAAAGUGUUCACUCAGAAAAGCCACAACCUACUAAAGAGGAGCCAAAAGUCCCACCCAUCCGGAUUCAACUUUCACGUAUUAAACCACCCUGGGUGGUUAAAGGUCAGCCAGCUUACCAGAUAUGCCCCAGGAUCAUCCCCAACACGGAGCCCUCCGCCCGGGGCAGGAGCGGGGCCAGAACUCUCGCAGACAUUAAGGCCCGUGCUCUGCAGGCCCGAGCCCAGCGAGAAGCUGCUGCCGCCGCCAUUGGUGGUGGGGGCGGCCCCGGCGGAGGGAGAAACUCUGAGGGGGGUGGAGGAGAACGCAGCAGCCAUCGCAGACGCAGAAGAUCAAAGAGAGCUCGGCGAAAGCGCUCGUCAGAUCUACAGCGAACACAACUACUCUCGGCUCUCCGUCUGAACGGAGAGAAGGCCAGCUCUGAGGCGGCCGCGCAGGCAGCCAGCACAAAUUCCUUUGCCUCCUCGAAACAAGACUCCUUUUCUUCGAAGGCUGAGGGAAGCGCUGUUCUGCAGUGCGCCGCGGGCGCUGGCUCAGGGGAAGCUCAGUCCGGCGAUGGCUCACCUGGAGGGCAGCGCUGUGAUGCUCUGAUGGUGUCGGCAUUGGACAGCACGGCUUUGGAGAGGCCACAGGAGAGCCCCGAGCAGCUCUUCUGCGAUGCCAGGACUGAAUCCUCAUCACGUGCUGCGUCGCAGGAGGGGCAGAGCACAGAGGUGACACACGUGGUUCCUCCCGCAGUUGAUCUGUCGUGUGCCCAGGCGCAGGGAGCUGAGAUGGGUCCUGCAGGAGGCAGGGUUGUGUCAGAACUCAGAGAUGUUGGUAUUCCCGCAGUACAUCCUUCUGAUGUAAAGGAGAAUUCCACCGGUCAUCCUGCUCUUCUGCCAGAAUUGCCAUCAGGUGGUAAAGAAUGCCACGAGCAGAACAUGAUAUCGAGAUUUAGAUUUAAUGGCUCUGAAACAACGUUAGUGGAACAGUGCUUGAAAAACUAUAGUGGUGACUCCAAAAUAGUGACUGCUGGAGCACAGGAAGGAGUGCCUGCACUGUGUAACUUCACACACCUGCAGGCAGGGAGAGAGAGUGAUGGCAAACUGAGCAAUGAGGAACAGAAUGCGGAAUCUCUGUUGAAAUCCUCUUUAUGUGAUGGCUUUGUUUCUCAGAGUAGGAUAGAUACCUCUGAAAAACUGAGGGAGAGGUGCCCUGGAACAGAAUCAGAAGACGAGUGCCAGCCGUUGAGGGAGACUGGAGAGUUCAAGGCAAAUGGAGAUGAUGAAGUACAGAGUACACACAGUGAAUCAACAGAUACUGCUUCGGAUUUUGAAGCUGACGUGGUUGAUGAGAAUGUGGAGAUGGAGAUGUGUUACAGAAACCUCAGCUGUAGGGAGGCGGCUAGGAAGGGCUCCUUCUGUCAGAGCAGCACUGAGGAAUGUGAUAAAAUUAGUUCAAAAUCAUCUCUGGAAGCAGGUGAUCCGCCCUGCGGUGUGGACUUCUCUUCAGUGGCCACAGUGAGCACUGCAGCUCCACCUCAGAGGUGGGGACUGCAUGCACCAUUGCCCCCAAAGCCCGAGAGGCCAUCAGGUUCUGCUCAGGCCAUGUCCUCUGAUGCCAGCAGCCCUUUGGUGAAGCAGCUGCUUAAGGGGAACCGUCUGCUGGAAGAGGUUCUCCCCGGGUCUCACGCCAACAUUGAGGUGGAAGGCGCGCAGCCGCCUCUCGACAAGCAGUCAGAAAGCCUCCCCGUGCCGAUGGAGAGAGGUGGCAAUUGCUAUUUUGGUAAAGAAUCUUGCCCAGAUGUGCAGAUAAAGACGAGUGCCCUAACCAGGAGUGAUGAGUUCCACCCAGUGAGAUCUUCUGUAGAUCCCCAGGAGAAGACACGUGGGUCAGGAGCAGCAUUGCCUGGAGUGGAGGGUAUGGAGAAUCAACCUGUUCCAGAAAAACAUUCCAAAAUUGGCUUAACCUUAAGCUGCCAAGACCAACUGGCAAAUGUGGCAAGUGCCUCUCAGAAGCCUGAAGACAUGAGCCCUCGGGAAAGAACGUUUUCUUCCUGUAGCUUUGAAGAGCAAAAAGAAUUGGCUAAGGUCCAUCGGGUGCCACAGCAUAACCCAUUAACAAAUGUCAUCGCAAAGCAAAGUCCUGAGAAGCCGAACCUGCCUCCAGAGCCUCCGUUUUUAUCUCCAAAUGUAGAUUCUCUUGGCCCAAAUCAGAUGGGGAAUGCAUCUGUCAAUCAAAAUUAUGUUGGAGUUCAAGGCAAAAAGCUCUUCGGUUCUGGUUUUCCUUGCAACCCCAGCGUUAGGCUGCAUCACUCAAGGGCUUCAGAUCAGGUGUCAGCCAUGGGAGCCUUGGCCCCGAGCAAACAGAUUUCUGUGACCAAAAGCUGUGCGUCUGCAGAAGGAAUGCCAGCUGCAAGGGAAGAGUGGACUUCGAAGCAGCACGGGAACACCCUGGGAGGAACAAAAAGUGAGAACGUGUUGGCGUGUGGCAGCCCAACCAAGAGCAGUGGGGAGAGGCAGAAGGAUGCAGCACCAAACCCUGCGGAGCUGAGGGAGCAUUCGCAGAGCGUUCCUGUGGCGAUGGACUUGCCGUUCCUGAAGCUUUCAAGGGAAGCAGGAAAAAGACACAAUCACCCUUUGGAGCCUUCCUCCAUACCCUCUCAGUUCAAUAUCAAGCAAGCGUUUUAUGGGAAGCUUUCUAAGCUGCAGCUGAAUUCCACCAGCUUUAAUUAUUCAUCCAGCGCUCCAGCUUUUCCCAGAAGCCUCGCUGGAAGCAUGAUGCAGCUCAGCCACAAAGCGAACUUUGCUGCAAACCACAACACGUCCCUUUCCGUGCAGAUGUUUGCCGACAGCAGCAGCGUUGAAGAAAUAUCCUUCAAGUGUUCGUGCAGCCUUAAAGCCAUGAUCAUGUGUAAAGGCUGCGGGGCGUUUUGUCACGAUGACUGUAUAGGACCCUCUAAGCUCUGUGUAUUGUGCCUUGUGGUGAGAUAAUAAAUUAUGGCCAUGGGACAGGUUGUAUAUUCAGUGUGCGUAUUUUGAUAACGACUGAUCCUAAACCUGUACACAGGAUACGGUUCUGUUUAUAGUAGAAAUGCUAUUAUACUUCGUUUCGGUGAGGAAAGUUGACUCGCCUCCCCACUGAAAUCGACAGUGCAAAACCCUUCCUUGCUCACGAUGACACUCCGAUUUCUGUGGGCUGUGCCCCACCGGAGCCAAUCCUUCUGCUUUGUGCUAUCGUGGACGUGCUGGCUGUGCCCUGGGAUGUGUGUGAAGCUGACACCUGGCUGGGAGGCAGUUUGCUGUGGCAUCCGUGGACCCUCCGGAGAGGAGACCUCUACAUCCAAAGGAACUGGAACAGGGUGCGUUCUAUUUCAGGGCUGCUCUAGGUUAGCCCCUACAGUCUUCCACUCUCCCCUUCUGCCAUCUCCGAGGUCGGUUGUGUGCUGAGCACAGCAGUGCAGGCAGGACGCAGGUGCCUCCGCGUGGUCUCCGGUGCCAAGGCUGGACGCGGUGAGCAGCGAAACGCUCUGCGGUUGGAGCUGCGAGAGGAAGAAUAGGCAGCACGUGGCAAGGGAAAACGGCUCCUGCCUGCAGGAUGUGCGGGGCUUUGGGUUGCCCAGCUGAACUCUGGCACCAGCUGAAGGCUGAGGCUGCUGCAGCCUCCUUGUAGCACGCGUCCGUGCAGGAAGGCUCUGAGAAGCGCAGUGCGUGGCCAGCAGCCGUCUGUGCAUUGCAGCCCUGCGGUGAGGACCUGACCGUGACAGCAUCUGACCACUUGCAAGUGUCUAGCUGUGCAUCUGUGUGACGAUCAUCUUAACAUUUAAAGCAGUGUUUUUUCAUUAUUAUUUUUUUUUUUAAUAUAUAUUUUCAUUCUUGGAUGUAUAAAGUGAAUUAUUUGGCUCCUGCAGGAAACGCUUUGGAAAGGAAUAAUGCAAAUGGUGAUGUUCUGUGUCUCAGUCCUGGCCUCGGUGCGUGGAUGUGCCGUGUGUGGUGAGCUCACGUGUCGGGGUUUUGGGGCUGCAAGGAAGGAAGCGCACGGCUGCACAGCGCCUGCCCUGGGUGCUGCCUCACCAUUCAUGCUGAACUGAUGCUCUGCUGCCUGCUAGGGGUCUGCAAACACCACUCCAGGUCUUUGCAAUCACCAAGCAGGGUCGUUGCUUAGGUGAGCUCCGAUGCUGUUAAAUAAUUGGAAGUCUGGGCUGUGUUAUGGGAACCCCGGGCCGGGCCUCGUGUGUGUGCCGUGAAACCUCAGCUGUGUGUGUGUGUGAAUGGCAGUCACUGCAUGAGGGCCUCCUGCUGCAGCCAGGGACAGGGCAGCUCUGGAGGUUCUACCUGCGUAGUGCUUGGAGAAAGGCGUUUUGGGGGUGCAAAGGUUUGUUGUACUCAGUGAAUAAAGCUGAUAAUGAAAAAUCAGGAGAUGGAGAGCUUUCCCCAAACCUUGAUGAAAGCUUCAUAGUUUCCCAACGAAACAAAAACAGAAAUAAAACCAGACGUCACAAAAUGAAUUUUGCCAGCAGAGAAGUUGAGGUCUGCGCUGCUCCCCGUGUGCCAGCGCUGCUCUGUUCCCCAUGGGCAGCACAGCCUCCAUGGCAGCUCUCUGCAGUGGCUUUGGCCCUUUUCUCUCUUUUCCAAAGACCCCAAUUCGAGGCUGUUGGGAGCUGAGCUCCCUGGGGUGAGAGCGGAGCAGAGAGCCCUUCUGUUAUACAGUGUUUAUUGAGCAAAUUCAGUCUUAUAUAUGAUAUACAGAUUCCAAAGGAAAAAAAAAAAAAAAAAAGGAUUCCACAUACGUAUGAAAUCAGUGCAUUUAGCAGUAAUACCAUGGAGAUAACAGCUCGAUUAACAGCUCAUUGGUCUUCGUUAAGUGAGGGGAACAGGGAGUGGGCCUGUGCUAAUCAUUCCACAAACAGAACAGAAUUAAGUUGCAUCACAUAUAUAAUAGACACACGUUCUAAGAAUUAAAAUAUUAAGCCACAUUUACUGGAAAAAUCCACAGUAUAUAACACAAAUAACUCUUAUCGAGCUCAUUGAGGAGGAAGUGCUCAUCUGCUUAAGAGCCACACGAAGUUGCAUAGGUGCCUAUCUGCAAAAAUAUCAUUUUGAAACGAACCCAUUGAUUAAGCAAUAAAGUGUCACCUUAGGAGCUGGAUGAAGUGCCGAAUGCGUUCUCACUGCCCCUCUGAAGGCGCUGCCAUCCCCCAGCCCUGGGCAGCGCUGCCAUCCCACCCCAUCCCACAUCCUGGGCGCUGAGCUCCAGCUCUGCCCACUGCUGUUCUCCCGUUCUGGAUGUGAUUCUGGCUCUCCUCGUGUUUUUGGGGGGCAGCUUCACGCCCGGGCCUGGAGGGAAUGGCGAAGCGUCAGCGCUGCCCUUGUGCCCGCUUGGAGCUCUGCUCGGCUGCAGCUUCACAUCGAUUCCCAUUUCAAAUC